The sequence is a regulatory RNA element, 129 nucleotides long. It matches the Rfam family "Ribosomal protein L20 leader". From Rfam's summary of the family: This family is a putative r-protein leader autoregulatory structure found in B. subtilis and other low-GC Gram-positive bacteria. It is located in the 5' untranslated regions of mRNAs encoding initiation factor 3 followed by ribosomal proteins L35 and L20 (infC-rpmI-rplT). A Rho-independent transcription terminator structure that is probably involved in regulation is included at the 3' end. The record is from Rfam.
UAACUUAAGCAGAAGCAUCCGCUUCUCACCUUACGCCCAAGGCUAGUAGGGUUCGAUAGUAUACAAUAAGCUGUCUUAUUGUAGUGUGUCUGAUUUUUAGCGGGUGUAUGCCCGCUUUUAUUAUUGCAC